Molecule: ribosomal RNA, 1362 nt
Filed under: uncultured beta proteobacterium
Lineage: Bacteria; Pseudomonadati; Pseudomonadota; Betaproteobacteria
Description: bacterial SSU rRNA
Rfam family: Bacterial small subunit ribosomal RNA
Source: RNAcentral
UUGAACGCUGGCGGCUGCCUUACACAUGCAGUCGAACGGCAGCACGGGUGCUUGCACCUGGUGGCGAGUGGCGAAGGGGUGAGUAAUACAUCGGAACAUGUCCUGUAGUGGGGGAUAGCCCGGCGAAAGCCGGAUUAAUACCGCAUACGAUCUACGGAUGAAAGCGGGGGACCUUCGGGCCUCGCGCUAUAGGGUUGGCCGAUGGCUGAUUAGCUAGUUGGUGGGGUAAAGGCCUACCAAGGCGACCAUCAGUAGCUGGUCUGAGAGGACGACCAGCCACACUGGGACUGAGACACGGCCCAGACUCCUACGGGAGGCAGCAGUGGGGAAUUUUGGACAAUGGGCGAAAGCCUGAUCCAGCAAUGCCGCGUGUGUGAAGAAGGCCUUCGGGUUGUAAAGCACUUUUGUCCGGAAAGAAAUCCUUGGCUCUAAUACAGUCGGGGGAUGACGGUACCGGAAGAAUAAGCACCGGCUAACUACGUGCCAGCAGCCGCGGUAAUACGUAGGGUGCGAGCGUUAAUCGGAAUUACUGGGCGUAAAGCGUGCGCAGGCGGUUUGCUAAGACCGAUGUGAAAUCCCCGGGCUCAACCUGGGAACUGCAUUGGUGACUGGCAGGCUAGAGUAUGGCAGAGGGGGGGUAGAAUUCCACGUGUAGCAGUGAAAUGCGUAGAGAUGUGGAGGAAUACCGAUGGCGAAGGCAGCCCCCUGGGCCAAUACUGACGCUCAUGCACGAAAGCGUGGGGAGCACACAGGAUUAGAUACCCUGGUAGUCCACGCCCUAAACGAUGUCAACUAGUUGUUGGGGAUUCAUUUCCUUAGUAACGUAGCUAACGCGUGAAGUUGACCGCCUGGGGAGUACGGUCGCAAGAUUAAAACUCAAAGGAAUUGACGGGGACCCGCACAAGCGGUGGAUGAUGUGGAUUAAUUCGAUGCAACGCGAAAAACCUUACCUACCCUUGACAUGGUCGGAAUCCCGCUGAGAGGUGGGAGUGCUCGAAAGAGAACCGGCGCACAGGUGCUGCAUGGCUGUCGUCAGCUCGUGUCGUGAGAUGUUGGGUUAAGUCCCGCAACGAGCGCAACCCUUGUCCUUAGUUGCUACGCAAGAGCACUCUAAGGAGACUGCCGGUGACAAACCGGAGGAAGGUGGGGAUGACGUCAAGUCCUCAUGGCCCUUAUGGGUAGGGCUUCACACGUCAUACAAUGGUCGGAACAGAGGGUUGCCAACCCGCGAGGGGGAGCUAAUCCCAGAAAACCGAUCGUAGUCCGGAUUGCACUCUGCAACUCGAGUGCAUGAAGCUGGAAUCGCUAGUAAUCGCGGAUCAGCAUGCCGCGGUGAAUACGUUCCCGGGUCUUGUACACACC